RNAcentral lists this unclassified non-coding RNA (395 nucleotides) under Hevea brasiliensis (rubber tree). Lineage: Eukaryota; Viridiplantae; Streptophyta; Magnoliopsida; Malpighiales; Euphorbiaceae. The record is from RNAcentral.
AUUUUAGUACCAUUGCCACGAGUUACUUGUUUUUAUAGUUCUUCAGAUCAAGGGAGACUGUCUCUAUUCAUUUCUCUGCCCAAGGAAAAACUUAUUUCAGCUUGACUAUUGUAUAUAUUCUAAACGUGGUUUUUCUUGCCUCCACUUUGAUUUGUACCUAGGAUGGGUUGGGGAAAAACUUACAUAAGGCGUUUGAGAAUAUUUGCAGCGGCUAUGAUGAUCUAUCUGGAUUAUAAGGCUAUAGAGCAAAUAGAUAAAUGGACCAUCAACUCCAACAGAGAUGCACUGUGGGAUAAGGCUCAUGAACGCAAUGCGAAGCGUCUUGCCAACUUGGUCAUAGAACUGGAAGGUUUUUGGGUAAAACUUGGACAGUACUUAUCCACACGUGCUGAUGU